UAUUAAGUAGCUUAAGAUUUAAAGUAUAGUUUUGAAGCAACUAAGAUGUUUGAUUACCUUAAUGU
Molecule: transfer RNA, 65 nt
Filed under: Macrogyropus costalimai
Lineage: Eukaryota; Metazoa; Arthropoda; Insecta; Psocodea; Gyropidae
Description: tRNA-Phe
Source: RNAcentral